UACGAAGGGUGCAAACGUUGCUCGGAAUCAUUGGGCGUAAAGCGCACGUAGGCGGCUUCGCAAGUCGGAUGUGAAAUCCCUCGGCUCAACCGAGGACGUGCAUACGAAACUGCGGAGCUUGAGUGCUGAAGAGGAUCGCGGAAUUCCCGGUGUAGAGGUGAAAUUCGUAGAUAUCGGGAGGAACACCAGUGGCGAAGGCGGCGAUCUGGGCAGACAUUGACGCUGAGGUGCGAAAGCGUGGGGAGCGAACAGG
Molecule: ribosomal RNA, 253 nt
Filed under: uncultured bacterium
Lineage: Bacteria
Description: partial 16S ribosomal RNA
Rfam family: Bacterial small subunit ribosomal RNA
Source: RNAcentral